Molecule: RNA transcript, 1505 nt
Organism: Ostrea edulis (European flat oyster)
Lineage: Eukaryota; Metazoa; Mollusca; Bivalvia; Ostreida; Ostreidae
Gene name: isocitrate dehydrogenase [NAD] subunit gamma, mitochondrial-like
Exons: 16
Source: RefSeq, a predicted model, not a curated record
CAACGCUUUUGAAGGUCAAGGUGAGAACAAUGGCGGCCCCCAUGCAGCGUUCAAUGUUAAAGUUAUUGAAAUCGACUUCAGCUGGUGUGAGAAGAUCUCUGAAUGAAUCAAGUAGAGUAACUGGAAUUCUUGCUCAGAGUAAAAACUAUUCAACUGAACCCCACUUUAGUAAAUAUGGAGGAAGAACGACUGUGACCGCCCUAACUGGAGACGGAGUGGGGCCAGAACUUUUGUCCUAUGUCCAGGAAGUGUUCCGACAUGCAGGUGCCCCAGUGGACUUUGAGUCCUUGGAAAUAAGUGGUAAUACGAGUGAUGAAAAUAUGUUACGCAGCGCUAUCCUGUCUGUGCAGCGUAACGGCAUAGCUCUGAAAGGAAAUAUAGAGAGCAAGUUCGAUGAGCCAGGAUUUCAGUCCAUGAAUGUGGAGUUAAGGACCCAGUUGGAGCUGUUUGCCAGUAUUGUGUGGUGUAAAUCUAUCCCUGGGGUCCACACACGACAUCUGGGUCUAGACAUCAUCUUAAUACGCGAGAACACGGAGGGAGAAUACUCAAAUCUGGAGUACGAGAUUGUACCUGGAUGUAUAGAAAAUCUGAAGAUCAUAACAGAAGCUAAGUCAUCCAAGAUCGCAAAGUAUGCUUUUGAAUUUGCCAAGAAGCAUGGAAGAAAGAAGAUCACUGCAAUACACAAAGCAAACAUAAUGAAAUUAGGAGAUGGACUAUUUUUAGAAUCCUGUAGAAAAGUGGCGUCCCAGUAUCCAGACAUAGAAUUCAACGACAUGAUUGUGGACAAUGCCAGCAUGCAGAUGGUCUCCAGGCCUGAACAGUUCGAUGUUCUAGUGAUGCCGAAUCUCUAUGGUAACAUUCUGAGUAACAUCACGGCAGGGCUAGUGGGAGGUCCGGGGGUCGCGUCGGGGAUGAACAUCGGAGAUGAGUAUGCAGUGUUUGAAAUGGGAACGAGGAGUUCUGGUCGCAGUAUGAAGGGGAAAAAUAUCGCUAAUCCCACAGGGAUGCUCCUAGCCAGCUGUGAUAUGCUGGAUUAUAUAGGAUAUAAACACCACGGGAACUUGAUCAGAGAGUCGGUGAUGAAGGUGCUAUCAGAGGACAGGAUUCAGACCCCGGAUUUAGGAGGCCAUGCAACAACAUUAGAAGUUGUACAAGCCAUUAUAGAGGACAUCAAACCAAAGACAUCCAGUUGGAGUUCUACUGCGGCACAAAAUACAUACAGCCUCCGAUGAGGACCGGGGUCAGUUUAAAACGCCAUGGCCCUAUAGGAUAGCUGCAUGAAUAGACGAGAUGAACAUGAAGAAGAUCAGAGACAGAUGAAGCUGUAAGACGCCCAAGAGAAGUCGGUGGAGUUUCUAGACAACUUUAUUAUGUGUUAUAUUUAUUGAGUGUAUCGCAGUAAAUUUAUGUCUAUUGUUUAAAUCCAUGUUAUAGUUGCUAAGUAUGUAUGUUUUACGUAAUGUAGAUGAUGUUUUAUUGACGGAGUUAAAAUAGAAACAAUACAA